Non-coding RNA from Callorhinus ursinus (northern fur seal), 1764 nucleotides. The record is from RefSeq and is a predicted model, not a curated record. Lineage: Eukaryota; Metazoa; Chordata; Mammalia; Carnivora; Otariidae.
UUUAUCAUUUAUCAUCUCCUACGGGAACCUGACUUGAAAUGAUCAAAACUACAACACUUUUUAGUACACAUUCCUUGAAUUGCCCUACCUGAUACAUGAUAAUGUGAGAAAUACGUUGGUAGGCCCCACCUUCAUAGGACAAAACAUUUAAAAGCAAACAAUAUGGCAUAGCCUCUCAUAAAAGACUGCCGCACCCCAAAAUUAACAAAGCCCAUUUUCUCUCAGAUUUCAGAAAUAGGGUAGGUCUUAGGAAGGUACCACUGGGCUUUAGGUGGCUGCCUAACUCCCAAACUCCCCUGGUCGCAGGCCUUGGGGACAGACUCUAAUCCUGAGUAGGGUUGCUCCAGAAUGUAGCAUUUGGUAUAUACAUAUGCCAAAAAAUAAUAUGUUGUUUCUGUGACAUUCAAAUUUAACUGGAUGUCCUGUACUUAUAUUUGCUAAAUCUGACAACCCUAAUCCUGAGGUUUUCGUUCAGUGUUAAUAUUGGGCCCUACGUCCCUGAUGUGCCCCUAGGAAGCAGGACACAGACCCUGCAUCUCUGGUAUAUAAGGAAUUUACCUGCCUGCCUCCAAGGAGGCUCUCAUGGCCAAGGGGCAGCCUCCUCUCUGGGCCCCAGGGAUAUUUUCCAAAAAACCCACUGCAUCAACUUUUCUACACCCAUUGGCACGCACUUAUAAACCUCAGCUCUUCCCCCAGGCCCUGUGGGUUGCUUCCAGCUUCCUGGGCAUCGUUGUUCUUCUCCCUCCUUUUUCUAGCAGCUGUGAGGUUCUCUUGGAGCUGGUGGAUCUGGGCGGGCCCCACUGAGUGCCCAUCAUCCCCUCACUCAGGUGUCCUUUGCCCACUGCACCUUCCUGUUUGAGGGACUAAUCUGUUUGUUCCCUGUGGCCUCUCUCUGCCUUCACACCUCUUUUCUGUCUGAAAGGCUUUGAUUCACUAUAAAUAAUUGGAUUGUUUUCCAAAAGCUAGAUGUUCAAAUUCAUGCUUUAUUGUGGUUUGAAAUGGCCAAGUGACAGGUGGAUGUGGGUCAUGGUCUAGUCCUGUCUCCGUUAGGACAACCCUACAGAAUGGCAAGAAGAGGGAGGCAGCAGCUCAUACCCCGCCUCCCUGGCUUAGCAGGAACGAUGCCAGAGUGACCUCGGAUGACUCAGUGCAUUAGUGCAGGUGUUCCCAAGAAUGCCUCUCCUGCUCCGUGGGGAACCGCGGCAGCCUUUCUAUCUCUCUCCCAUUUAUCCCUGAAGACUUCUAAAGCAGAGCUUCUCAGUUUGUAGGGCGCCCAGGAAUCACCUGGAAAUCUCGUUAGAACAGCAGAGACUGAUUCAGCAGCUCUGGGGCCUCCUGAGAUUCUGCCCUCCUACCAAGCCUCCGUGCUGCCACUGCUAUGGACCCCAGACCACCCUUGGAGCGGCAAGAGUUUGAAACUUCUUCUGCAGCCACAGGACGGCCCGGGCGCCUGGUCUUUUCAAGUCCAGGGCUCUGGUGAGACUACCAGGCCCAGGAGGCACAUGGGAGCAUUGCACCUACUGCGCUUCCUCGCCACCUUGUGACUUGCUUUGGCCAGUGAAAUGAGAGCAGAAAUGAUGUGAAUUGCUUCCAGGCAAACACUUUGGAAAUUAGUGGUUGAUUUGCCCCAUCCUCAUUUCCUGCCUUCAGGGUUGAGGAGGCAACAUGUCCAGUUGUAGUUGCCCGUGUCCCUGAGUAGCUAUGGGAAACAGAGCUCCUAUUGACCCCCAAUUUCAUGAUUGAGAAAUAAACGUUCAUGUCAAA